This is a long non-coding RNA of Gasterosteus aculeatus aculeatus (three-spined stickleback), 324 nucleotides long. The record is from Ensembl. Lineage: Eukaryota; Metazoa; Chordata; Actinopteri; Perciformes; Gasterosteidae.
CUCGCAGCUGGUCACUGGGCCACGUGGACGUCCCGGAUGACUCACGCGGAUCGGGAUGAUCUGCUUUUUAAAAAAAGACAAAACAGAAAGGUGUUUGUUGAAAAUAGAGGAGAAAUACCUACAUCUGAUAAGGUGCCGCAUGGGACAACCGGUGUCCCUACGUGUCCCCGCAUAGAUCGCGUCCACUUUGACUCAGCCGGGCUCGGAGGAGGUGCAGGCCGAGUCGGGAGGAGCAGAGCGACACAUCUGUGUCCGAAACAUUGGCAGAAUUCAGCGGGCUCAAAGCCCGGUGACGUCACCGCCUCCCUCCACGGCGCUCACGCU